Molecule: small nuclear RNA, 107 nt
Organism: Cervus hanglu yarkandensis (Yarkand deer)
Lineage: Eukaryota; Metazoa; Chordata; Mammalia; Artiodactyla; Cervidae
Source: Ensembl
GUGCUCACAUUGGCAGCACACAUACUAAAACUGGAAUGAUACAGAGAAGAUUAGCAUGGCCCCUGCACAAGGAUGACAGGAAAAUUCAUGAAGCACUCCAUAUUAAA